Long non-coding RNA from Pongo pygmaeus (Bornean orangutan), 1541 nucleotides. RefSeq lists it as uncharacterized. NCBI's taxonomy places the organism in Eukaryota, Metazoa, Chordata, Mammalia, Primates, Hominidae. The record is from RefSeq and is a predicted model, not a curated record. The transcript is spliced from 2 exons.
CCGCCCUCUGGAGGAAGCCGCGCAAUCACUCCGGAGGCGGGGGGAGAGAGACAACUGAGAGGAAGGAGGUACCACGGGCGCUCUCUCGCGAGAGGGCCGCAGAGCCGCCUUUGACGGGGGCGUGUACCUGGAGAGCGACGCUCUUGACAAAAAUUCUCAGGGAAAACUCUUCAGCUCUGGAUGUCUCCCUUUUUGUGGAUCAAACACAAAGGGCAUCAUUCUAAAAUAUAUACGGAACCAUAAAAGCCCCAAAUAGCCAAAGCAACCCUGAGCAAAAAGAACAAGGCUGGAAGCAUCACACUACCAGACUUCAAAAUUUACUGCAAAGCUCUAAUACCUAAAACAACAUGGUACUGGCAUAAAAAAAAAAAAAUAGGCACAUAGACCAAUGAAACAGUAUAAAGAAUCCGGAUAUACCAACUCAUCUUUAACAAAGGUGCCAAGAACGUACAAUGAGGAAAGGAUGGUCUUUUCAAUAAAUGGUGUGAGGGAAAGCUAGAUAACUAUAUGCGGAAGAAUGAAACAAGAUUCCUCUCUCUUACUAUACACAAAAAUCAAAUCAAAAUGGAUUAAAGGCUUAAAUCUAAGAUCUGAAACUACAAAACUAGAAGAACACACUGGGGAAGUGCUCCAGGACCUUGGUCUGGGAAAAGAUUUUUUUGUUUAAGACCUCAAAAGCACAGACAACAAAGCAAAAACAGACAAAUGAGAUUACAUUAAGCUAAAAAGUUUCUGCACAGCGAAGGAAACACUUAACAGAGUGGGGGAGACAACCCACAGAAUGAGAGAAAACAUUUUCAAACUAUCCAUCCGACAAGGGAUUAAUGACCAGAAUAAAGAGACUAAACAAUUUAAGCCAAAAACAAAACAAAGAAACACACACACAAAAAAAGUCAAAUAAUCUAAAAAGUGGGCAGGCUGGGUGGGGUGGCUAACACCUAUAAUCCCAGCACUUUGGGAGGCCAAGGCAGGCAGGUCAAGAGAUCGACACCAUCCUGGCCAACAUGGUGAAACCCCAUCUCUACUAAAAAUAAAAAAAAAUUAGCCGGGUGUGGUGGCAUGCGCCUGUAGUCCCAGCUACUUGGGAAGCUGAGGCAGGAGAAUCGCUUGAACCUGGGAGGAAGAGCUUGCAGUGAACCGAGAUUGCACCACUGCACUCCAGCCUGGUGACAGAGUGAGACUCCAUCUUAAAAAAAAAAAAAAAAAAAAGUGGGCAAAAGAUCCAAACAGACAUUUCUCAAAGGAAGACAUAAAAAUGGCCAACAGGUAUAUGAAAAAAUGCUCAACAUUACUAAUCAUUAGAGAAAUGCAAAUUAAAACAACAUGUUAUUUCACCCCAGUUAAAAUGGCUUGUAUUAAAAGAACAGAUAAUAACAGAUGCUAGUGAGGAUGUGGAGAAAAGAGAACCCUUGUACACUGUUGGUAGAAAUGUAAACUAGUACAACCACUAUGAAGAACAGUAUGGAGGUUCUUCAAAAAACUAAAAAUAGAAUUACCAUAUGAUCCAGAAGUUCCACUACUGAAUAUGUAUCCAAAAGAAA